RNAcentral lists this ribosomal RNA (549 nucleotides) under uncultured Glomus. RNAcentral's name for it is "SSU rRNA". It matches the Rfam family "Eukaryotic small subunit ribosomal RNA", at positions 548 to 1098 of the family's 1831-position model. Lineage: Eukaryota; Fungi; Glomeromycota; Glomeromycetes; Glomerales; Glomeraceae. The record is from RNAcentral.
UUGGAGGGCAAGUCUGGUGCCAGCAGCCGCGGUAAUUCCAGCUCCAAUAGCGUAUAUUAAAGUUGUUGCAGUUAAAAAGCUCGUAGUUGAAUUUCGGGGUUAGUAGGUUGGUCAUGCCUCCGGUAUGUACUGAUCUCACUGAUUCCUCCUUCCUUAUGAACCGUAAUGCCAUUAAUUUGGUGUUGCGGGGAAUUUGGACUGUUACCUUGAAAAAAUUAGAGUGUUUAAAGCAGGCUAACGCUUGAAUACAUUAGCAUGGAAUAAUGAAAUAGGACGUUCGAUCUUAUUUUGUUGGUUUCUAGGAUUGACGUAAUGAUUAAUAGGGAUAGUUGGGGGCAUUAGUAUUCAAUUGUCAGUGGUGAAAUUCUUGGAUUUAUUGAAGACUAACUACUGCGAAAGCAUUUGCCAAGGAUGUUUUCAUUAAUCAAGAACGAAAGUUAGGGGAUCGAAGACGAUCAGAUACCGUCGUAGUCUUAACCAUAAACUAUGCCGACUAGGGAUCGGAUGAUGUUAAUUUUUUAAUGACUCAUUCGGCGCCUUACGGGAAAC